This is a long non-coding RNA of Myotis myotis, 1261 nucleotides long. RefSeq lists it as uncharacterized. The transcript is spliced from 3 exons. The record is from RefSeq and is a predicted model, not a curated record. Lineage: Eukaryota; Metazoa; Chordata; Mammalia; Chiroptera; Vespertilionidae.
CAAAGUUUUACUGAGCACAUACUGGGCACAAGUUACCGAUCUAAGCAUAGAAGGUUGUGGGAGAGUGAACAGUUCCUUGUCUGUAAUGACCUUCUGUCUAGUGUGAGAAUUAAGAGGUAAAACUAAAUAACUGUAAUAAUUAUGCAACAGGACAUGUCUUUGAAAAGGGAUAAAGUCCUGUGGAAACACAUCGAUUGGGAAGGUGAAUUCUGGCUGAGGGCAAUCAGGAAAGGCUUCUCGGAAGAGAUGACACACUCGGGUAUUGAUGAUGCCAGCACUCUGAUAGACGGAGAUAGCGAGGUUAUCCUCGGCACGUGGCCCUCCUGCCUUUGGAGCCGUGGGUUUAAGCACGUACACCAGCCAGGCUUUGGAGCUUAUCUGCUCCUCCCCGCUCGCUGCGCCUCCCCUGGAUGCUCUUUACCUGCUGUCAUCCGCCUGAGGACAGAGGCAGCCUGUGGACUUCCUGGUUUCUCCUAGAAACAUGAGACCGCACCAGCUGCUGUAUGACCAUACAUCUUUAAAUGUAAAACAUGAAAACUAAAUUCUGAAAUAAGUCACAUUUGUGAAGAGACAAAAGAUAAGAGCGGCUUUUAUGAAAUGUUUUGAUGCAACCGCAUGAUGCAGCGCUGACAUCCUGACUGCAUGCUCACCCACCCACUCACUGGAUCGAUCGCGGUUGCUGCUCCACAAGGAGUAUUGAUGGACAGCUUAAAUACUUCUCAUUUUGAAAAGUGAAGCAUGAGUAAUUAAGCGAUGCAUCUCAAAGUUGGAUACCAGGUUUUUACUCAGUCCAGUAAUGAAUAAAAAGUGCAUUAACCAAAUUAAAACUCUUACAUGUCUAUAUAUUGGCUAUUGAUGUGUCUUUGUGAAUUUCAUUACAGUAUACUGGCGUCUUGUUUAUCAAAGAGCUUCCCAGAAAUUUCCCUUGAUUUAAAGCUUUUUGUUUACAUCUAAAUUGGUUAGGGGAAAUAAUCCUGUGACAGUUCAUCUUUCUCACUAAUUUGUGUAAGAUAAUCCUAAUCUUCGGUGACUCAGAAAUGUACAAACAUAAACAGGCCUUUUCUCUCAGUUGUGCUCAGUAUACAAAUAUUCUCUCAGAUUCUGUUCUGUAUCAGUGACUAUGGGAAUCUUUAAAAUGGUGUUCUGCUAAAGUGAAUGGGCAUCUACUAAUGUCUGUUCAUCUCAGCAGGGGAUCCAUAUGUAUGUAUGUGUAUGUGUAUUUCCUUCACAGAUAUACCUGAAAUAAAAUUUUGAGGUUAAA